This 468-nucleotide ribosomal RNA is filed under the name uncultured bacterium. Its description in RNAcentral is "partial 16S ribosomal RNA". It matches the Rfam family "Bacterial small subunit ribosomal RNA", at positions 28 to 507 of the family's 1533-position model. The record is from RNAcentral.
GACGAACGCUGGCGGCGUGCUUAACACAUGCCAGUCGAACGGAAAGGCCCUGCUUUUGUGGGGUGCUCGAGUGGCGAACGGGUGAGUAACACGUGAGUAACCUGCCCUUGACUUUGGGAUAACUUCAGGAAACUGGGGCUAAUAUCGGAUAGGAGCUCCUGCUGCAUGGUGGGGGUUGGAAAGUUUCGGCGGUUGGGGAUGGACUCGCGGCUUAUCAGCUUGUUGGUGGGGUAGUGGCUUACCAAGGCUUUGACGGGUAGCCGGCCUGGGAGGGUGACCGGCGACAUUGGGCCUAAGAUACGGACCAGACUCCAACAGGAGGCAGCAGUGGGGAAUAUUGCACAAUGGGCGGACGCCUGAUACAGCGACGCCGCGUGCGGGAUGACGGCCUUCGGGUUGUAAACCGCUUUCGCCUGUGACGAAGCGUGAGUGACGGUAAUGGGUAAAGAAGCACCGGCUAACUACGUG